GCUACAGGCUUAACACAUGCAAGUCGAGGGGCAGCAUGGUCUUAGCUUGCUAAGGCCGAUGGCGACCGGCGCACGGGUGAGUAACACGUAUCCAACCUGCCGUCUACUCUUGGACAGCCUUCUGAAAGGAAGAUUAAUACAAGAUGGCAUCAUGAGUCCGCAUGUUCACAUGAUUAAAGGUAUUCCGGUAGACGAUGGGGAUGCGUUCCAUUAGAUAGUAGGCGGGGUAACGGCCCACCUAGUCUUCGAUGGAUAGGGGUUCUGAGAGGAAGGUCCCCCACAUUGGAACUGAGACACGGUCCAAACUCCUACGGGAGGCAGCAGUGAGGAAUAUUGGUCAAUGGGCGAGAACCUGAACCAGCCAAGUAGCGUGAAGGAUGACUGCCCUAUGGGUUGUAAACUUCUUUUAUAAAGGAAUAAAGUCGGGUAUGGAUACCCGUUUGCAUGUACUUUAUGAAUAAGGAUCGGCUAACUCCGUGCCAGCAGCCGCGGUAAUACGGAGGAUCCGAGCGUUAUCCGGAUUUAUUGGGUUUAAAGGGAGCGUAGAUGGAUAUUUAAGUCAGUUGUGAAAGUUUGCGGCUCAACCGUAAAAUUGCAGUUGAUACUGGAUAUCUUGAGUGCAGUUGAGGCAGGCGGAAUUCGUGGUGUAGCGGUGAAAUGCUUAGAUAUCACGAAGAACUCCGAUUGCGAAGGCAGCCUGCUAAG
Molecule: ribosomal RNA, 705 nt
Filed under: uncultured Bacteroidales bacterium
Lineage: Bacteria; Pseudomonadati; Bacteroidota; Bacteroidia; Bacteroidales
Description: bacterial SSU rRNA
Rfam family: Bacterial small subunit ribosomal RNA
Source: RNAcentral